RNAcentral lists this ribosomal RNA (440 nucleotides) under uncultured bacterium. RNAcentral's name for it is "partial 16S ribosomal RNA". It matches the Rfam family "Bacterial small subunit ribosomal RNA", at positions 339 to 795 of the family's 1533-position model. The record is from RNAcentral.
CUACGGGGGGCACCAGUGGGGAAUAUUGGACAAUGGACCAAAAGUCUGAUCCAGCAAUUCUGUGUGCACGAUGACGGUUUUCGGAUUGUAAAGUGCUUUCAACAGGGAAGAAGUUCUGACGGUACCUGUAGAAGAAGCGACGGCUAAAUACGUGCCAGCAGCCGCGGUAAUACGUAUGUCGCAAGCGUUAUCCGGAUUUAUUGGGCAUAAAGGGCAUCUAGGCGGCUUAGUAAGUCUGAUGUGAAAAUGCGGGGCUCAACUCCGUAUUGCGUUGGGACUGGCGCGCUGGAGUUUGGUAGAGGGGGGCGGAAUUCCGGGUGUAGCGGUGAAAUGCGUAGAUAUCCGGAGGAACACCAGUGGCGAAGGCGGCCCCUUGGACCAGAACUGACGCUGAGGCACGAAAGCGUGGGUAGCAAACAGGAUUAGAUACCCCUGUAGUC